AUUGAACGCUGGCGGCAGGCCUAACACAUGCAAGUCGAACGGUAACAGGAAGCAGCUUGCUGCUUCGCUGACGAGUGGCGGACGGGUGAGUAAUGUCUGGGAAGCUGCCUGAUGGAGGGGGAUAACUACUGGAAACGGUAGCUAAUACCGCAUAAUGUCGCAAGACCAAAGAGGGGGACCUUCGGGCCUCUUGCCAUCGGAUGUGCCCAGAUGGGAUUAGCUUGUUGGUGGGGUAACGGCUCACCAAGGCGACGAUCCCUAGCUGGUCUGAGAGGAUGACCAGCCACACUGGAACUGAGACACGGUCCAGACUCCUACGGGAGGCAGCAGUGGGGAAUAUUGCACAAUGGGCGCAAGCCUGAUGCAGCCAUGCCGCGUGUAUGAAGAAGGCCUUCGGGUUGUAAAGUACUUUCAGCGGGGAGAAGGGGAGUAAAGUUAAUACCUUGGCUCAUUGACGUUACCCGCAGAAGAAGCACCGGCUAACUCCGUG
This 490-nucleotide ribosomal RNA is filed under the name uncultured bacterium. RNAcentral's name for it is "partial 16S ribosomal RNA". It matches the Rfam family "Bacterial small subunit ribosomal RNA", at positions 30 to 507 of the family's 1533-position model. The record is from RNAcentral.